ACCUCCACCUGCGGACAGGAUGCGGCGCUACGAACGCUGACAAUGAAGGUUCGAAUCCUUCUGGAGGUACCA
RNAcentral lists this transfer RNA (72 nucleotides) under Kofleriaceae bacterium. RNAcentral describes it as "tRNA-Arg". It matches the Rfam family "tRNA". Rfam says of the family: Transfer RNA (tRNA) molecules are approximately 80 nucleotides in length. The record is from RNAcentral. Lineage: Bacteria; Pseudomonadati; Myxococcota; Haliangiales; Kofleriaceae.